Molecule: unclassified non-coding RNA, 167 nt
Filed under: soil metagenome
Description: partial internal transcribed spacer 1
Source: RNAcentral
GUGAAUUAAACAUGCUUGGUGUCUUCGCUUCGGCAAGGCCCUUGCUUAAAUCACAUCCUAACACCUGUGAACUGUAAGACGUAUGAUGAGGUCUUUGGCCAAGUCAUCGUCUACCCAUUUUUAACAAACAAUUAAUGUAACAAACGUAGUCUUAUUAUAACCUAAUA